RNAcentral lists this ribosomal RNA (250 nucleotides) under uncultured bacterium. Its description in RNAcentral is "partial 16S ribosomal RNA". It matches the Rfam family "Bacterial small subunit ribosomal RNA", at positions 524 to 773 of the family's 1533-position model. The record is from RNAcentral.
UACAGAGGGUGCAAGCGUUGCUCGGAAUUAUUGGGCGUAAAGGGUAGGUAGGUGGUCUUAUUUGUCUGGGGUGAAAGCCUCGAGCUUAACUCGAGAAGUGCCCUAGAAACGGUAAGACUAGAGUCUUGGAGAGGAUCGUGGAAUUCCCGGUGUAGCGGUGAAAUGCGUAGAGAUCGGGAGGAACACCAGAGGCGAAGGCGGCGUGCUGGGCCUGACCUGACGCUCAGACGCGAAAGCAUGGGGAGCGAAC